Homo sapiens (human) is the source of this 550-nucleotide long non-coding RNA. RefSeq lists it as uncharacterized. The transcript is spliced from 2 exons. Lineage: Eukaryota; Metazoa; Chordata; Mammalia; Primates; Hominidae. The record is from RefSeq and is a predicted model, not a curated record.
CCGUGAAGAGACCCCGAGGCAGAAGAGGGCCCCGACGCUGCCCGGUGACCCGCCUUGCCUGGCACGGGGCUGGCGCUCCAAACCGUUAGACCUGACAAGGUUGCCCUCCCUCUCUCGCGACGCCUUUCACAACAUGUAUUAUAACUCUUUCCACCAAUUUCAAAUAGUGCGGCUUAAAAGAUGAAGGAGAGCUAAACAAACCAGAAAGAAAAGAAAGAAAAAAUCCGCACCCAAUUUCGUAUCUCCAGUUGGUAAAGAAUGUAGCUGUCCGCUAUUUUGGAACGUCUCGUAUUUCUGAGUCUUUCACAAUGUGAAGUACUUCAUAAAGACAGUAAAAUCCUCUCAAGAUCAUAAAGAUGCUUUUGAAUCCAUGGUUUCCCAAAGGAGGGAAAGCGCCAGGACAUUAAUAUAAUUCAUGUGUAGCCUUUGCUUUGCCUUUAAGUGGACGAGCGUACUUUGAGCUCUUUGCCUUUAAGUAGACGAGCGUAAUUUGCACUGUUCUAGUUGUUGAGGAGUACAAAAAGAGGAAUAAAACAAUGCCUGCCCACAA